AAAUUGUUAGUGGCAGACGGGUGAGUAAUGCGUAGGAAUCUACCUAGUAGUACGGAAUAGCCAUUAGAAAUGGUGGGUAAUACUGUAUAAUCCCCGAGGGGGAAAGAUUUAUCGCUAUUAGAUGAGCCUACGUUAGAUUAGCUAGUUGGUGAGGUAAUGGCUUACCAAGGCUAUGAUCUAUAGCUGGUCUGAGAGGACGAUCAGCCACACUGGAACUGAGAUACGGUCCAGACUCCUACGGGAGGCAGCAGUGGGGAAUAUUGGACAAUGGGCGAAAGCCUGAUCCAGCUAUGCCGCGUGAGUGAAGAAGGCCUUCGGGUUGUA
RNAcentral lists this ribosomal RNA (324 nucleotides) under uncultured Ehrlichia sp. Its description in RNAcentral is "bacterial SSU rRNA". It matches the Rfam family "Bacterial small subunit ribosomal RNA", at positions 86 to 427 of the family's 1533-position model. Lineage: Bacteria; Pseudomonadati; Pseudomonadota; Alphaproteobacteria; Rickettsiales; Anaplasmataceae. The record is from RNAcentral.